AUACGUAGGGGGCGAGCGUUGUCCGGAAUGAUUGGGCGUAAAGGGCGCGUAGGCGGCUUUGCAAGUCAGUAGUGGAAGUCCAUUUUUCAAGGAUGGAAGUGCUACAGAAACUGCGGAGCUUGAGUGCAGGAGAGGUUAUCGGAAUUCCCGGUGUAGCGGUGAAAUGCGUAGAGAUCGGGAGGAACACCAGUGGCGAAGGCGGGUAAAUGGACUGCAACUGACGCUGAGGCGCGAAAGCGUGGGUAGCAAACAGGAUUAGAUACCCUGGUAGUCCACGCUGUAAACGAUGAUUACUAGGUGUGGGGGGACUGACCCCUUCCGUGCCGCAGUUAACACAAUAAGUAAUCCACCUGGUGAGUACGGCCGCAAGGUGGAAACUCAAAGGAAUGGACGGGG
RNAcentral lists this ribosomal RNA (396 nucleotides) under uncultured bacterium. RNAcentral describes it as "partial 16S ribosomal RNA". It matches the Rfam family "Bacterial small subunit ribosomal RNA", at positions 523 to 918 of the family's 1533-position model. The record is from RNAcentral.